AUCACUUCUGGGCCUUUUGGCUAAGAUCAAGUAUAGUAUCUGUUCUUAUCAGUUUAAUGUCUGACACGUCCUCUAUUCGAGGACAAUAUAUUAAAUGGAUUUUUGGAGUUAGGAAAAAUAAA
RNAcentral lists this small nuclear RNA (122 nucleotides) under Mus spretus (western wild mouse). Its description in RNAcentral is "predicted gene, 22984 (ENSMSPG00010010025.1)". It matches the Rfam family "U2 spliceosomal RNA", at positions 1 to 123 of the family's 192-position model. From Rfam's summary of the family: U2 is a small nuclear RNA (snRNA) component of the spliceosome (involved in pre-mRNA splicing). Complementary binding between U2 snRNA (in an area lying towards the 5' end but 3' to hairpin I) and the branchpoint sequence (BPS) of the intron results the bulging out of an unpaired adenosine, on the BPS, which initiates a nucleophilic attack at the intronic 5' splice site, thus starting the first of two transesterification reactions that mediate splicing. The record is from RNAcentral. Lineage: Eukaryota; Metazoa; Chordata; Mammalia; Rodentia; Muridae.